This 27-nucleotide non-coding RNA is filed under the name Bombyx mori (domestic silkworm). The record is from RNAcentral. Lineage: Eukaryota; Metazoa; Arthropoda; Insecta; Lepidoptera; Bombycidae.
UAAUGAGUUUCUGCUGCUGGCUCCACC